This 574-nucleotide long non-coding RNA is filed under the name Homo sapiens (human). Its description in RNAcentral is "MIR325 host gene". Lineage: Eukaryota; Metazoa; Chordata; Mammalia; Primates; Hominidae. The record is from RNAcentral.
AGAUUGAAGCAGCUUCAUCUCAUUCCUGGUUCAUCCUGAUUCCCUCAGUGGCUUGCUCCUGCAUUAGUAAUGUAAAACUGGCCCAAAAGGGUUUAAAAUUGUCAGAAGUUGAUCUUGAUCAGUUCAAAUAUUUUUUGACAAAGAAAAUCAGUUCUGGUCAGUUCAAAUCUAUUUUGACCAGUUUAAACCAAUUCUGCAGAACUCGAGCCUGUGGUCGGUAAACCCAGGAAGAUGGCUGAAGACUAUGCUGAUUCAAGCCAAAGCAAGGAAUCAGCUUCUGCUGAUCCUGCUUUUUGGAAUUAAGAAUUCCCAAACAGGUUGCUUCCAAGACGGCUGAAUAGGAACAGCUCCAGUCUACAACUCCCAGUGAGAUCGAUGCAGAAGGAUGGGCCGCAAAGGAGAUUCUUCCAAGAUUUCAGAAGUUGGAAGGGAAGCAGAAUCCAUUUGAUAACACAAACACAUUGUUGCUUAUCUGUUGACUCAACUUGGGAUGAAGAAGCAGUUGAGCCAGUUGUGUGUGUAGAGCUCAAGGACAAAGGUCCUUAGCUUCUGCAGAAUACUAUCAUCACCAAGC